UCCGUAGGCGGGUAAUUAAGUCAGAGGUGAAAUCCCACAGCUUAACUGUGGAACUGCCUUAGAUACUGGUUAUCUUGAGUUUUAGUGAAGUAGAUAGAAUGUGUAGUGUAGCGGUGAAAUGCAUAGAUAUUACACAGAAUACCGAUUGCGAAGGCAGUCUACUAACUAACAACUGACGCUCAGGAACGAAAGCGUGGGGAGCGAACAGGAUUAGAUACCCUGGUAGUCC
RNAcentral lists this ribosomal RNA (229 nucleotides) under uncultured bacterium. RNAcentral describes it as "partial 16S ribosomal RNA". It matches the Rfam family "Bacterial small subunit ribosomal RNA", at positions 568 to 796 of the family's 1533-position model. The record is from RNAcentral.